GAUGAACGCUAGCUACAGGCUUAACACAUGCAAGUCGAGGGGCAGCACAGUGUAGCAAUACACGGGUGGCGACCGGCGCACGGGUGCGUAACGCGUAUCCAAACUUUCCCGUUACUCUCGGAUAGCCUUCCGAAAGGGAGAUUAAUACGAGAUGGUGUUCAGUUUCCGCAUGUUGCUGAACUAAAGAUUCAUCGGUAACGGAUAGGGAUGCGUGACAUUAGAUAGUUGGCGGGUAACGGCCCACCAAGUCAACGAUGUCUAGGGGUUCUGAGAGGAAGGUCCCCCACACUGGAACUGAGACACGGUCCAGACUCCUACGGGAGGCAGCAGUGAGGAAUAUUGGUCAAUGGUCGGAAGACUGAACCAGCCAUGCCGCGUGAAGGUGACGG
Molecule: ribosomal RNA, 389 nt
Filed under: uncultured bacterium
Lineage: Bacteria
Description: bacterial SSU rRNA
Rfam family: Bacterial small subunit ribosomal RNA
Source: RNAcentral